Rosa chinensis is the source of this 794-nucleotide long non-coding RNA. RefSeq lists it as uncharacterized. The transcript is spliced from 2 exons. Lineage: Eukaryota; Viridiplantae; Streptophyta; Magnoliopsida; Rosales; Rosaceae. The record is from RefSeq and is a predicted model, not a curated record.
GAUCACUCCCAGAAAACUCGAGAGAGAGCAUCAGAGCUCUCUGACCCGAGACACAACCGCGACCUGACAACGUGACCCGACCGAAACUUUCACGUCCGGCCACCCCACGACGGGGCGCGGGCACCUUCGUCUUCGUCUCGCUGUCGCCCACCUCCUUGUGACAUUAGAUCGUCCAUGCAUUGAACGAAGAAGGAGAAUCGAAGACCCGAAGCUCCGAGUCUUCUCCGACGAUUUCUGCAAAUUCCGGCGACUCCGACCACCAUCUGAGCUGCGUGUGGCAUGAAAAUCACUCCUCUCGUCAUGCUCUUCAAGUCUGUGUAAUUAUUUCUUCCAUUCGAUCGAUUUUGACUGAUUUGCAUUUUGGGUAGCCACGGCUCCGCCGUGUUCUUCGAAUCCGGCAACUUCUCCGGCGCUUCUAGCUUGAUUGGCAUGUAAACAUAGUCUGCGAGUUCGAUCAAGUUUUUGGAGAAGCUGUGUUUGGGUGCACUCGGCCUCCACUAAGAAUUGGGGAAUUAGUUAGCUACACCGGCUUGGACUUGUUGUGUUCUCCCUAAGAGUGCAGACUUUGAUCUAAGUUGAUCACAAGGUGAGUUGGAUUUGUUGGAGAAAUUCUGGGAAAUUUCCUUGUAGCUGAUUGCUGGUGUAUGUAUGAUAAUCAUAUCCUGUAGUGAAGGAUGGUAAUUUGAGUUGUUUCCGGUCUGCAAGCUUGAUGUUUAGUUGAUUGUUAAAGCCUUAAGUUUUGAAUUGGUUUGUUUUGAAUUUGUUGAAUGAAUCGAGAUCGUUUGUUAACGAAA